UCGUCACCACCAUCAAGAUGGUGCUACCACAGAGGUGCAAACGGCAAGUGGAUCUCGUCGCCUUUGGGGAGCUGUGGCUGUGCCCCUCAAAGUGAAUUUGGAGGUUCUACAUUC
This 114-nucleotide small nucleolar RNA is filed under the name Propithecus coquereli (Coquerel's sifaka). RNAcentral's name for it is "Small nucleolar RNA SNORA68 (ENSPCOG00000025307.1)". It matches the Rfam family "Small nucleolar RNA SNORA68". From Rfam's summary of the family: U68 is a member of the H/ACA class of small nucleolar RNAs (snoRNAs) which act as guides in the the modification of uridines to pseudouridines. Lineage: Eukaryota; Metazoa; Chordata; Mammalia; Primates; Indriidae. The record is from Rfam by way of RNAcentral.